RNAcentral lists this transfer RNA (72 nucleotides) under Capsicum annuum. It matches the Rfam family "tRNA". Rfam says of the family: Transfer RNA (tRNA) molecules are approximately 80 nucleotides in length. Their secondary structure includes four short double-helical elements and three loops (D, anti-codon, and T loops). Further hydrogen bonds mediate the characteristic L-shaped molecular structure. tRNAs have two regions of fundamental functional importance: the anti-codon, which is responsible for specific mRNA codon recognition, and the 3' end, to which the tRNAs corresponding amino acid is attached (by aminoacyl-tRNA synthetases). tRNAs cope with the degeneracy of the genetic code in two manners: having more than one tRNA (with a specific anti-codon) for a particular amino acid; and 'wobble' base-pairing, i.e. permitting non-standard base-pairing at the 3rd anti-codon position. Lineage: Eukaryota; Viridiplantae; Streptophyta; Magnoliopsida; Solanales; Solanaceae. The record is from Rfam by way of RNAcentral.
AUCUGAGUGGCGCAGUGGUAGCGUGAUGGGCUCAUAACCUACAGGUCCCCGGAUCGAAACCUGGCUUUGAUA